This 466-nucleotide ribosomal RNA is filed under the name uncultured bacterium. RNAcentral's name for it is "bacterial SSU rRNA". It matches the Rfam family "Bacterial small subunit ribosomal RNA", at positions 338 to 795 of the family's 1533-position model. The record is from RNAcentral.
CCUACGGGGUGCACCAGUGGGGAAUAUUGCACAAUGGGCGCAAGCCUGAUGCAGCCAUGCCGCGUGUAUGAAGAAGGCCUUCGGGUUGUAAAGUACUUUCAGCGGGGAGGAAGGUGUUGUGGCUAAUAACCACAGCAAUUGACGUUACCCGCAGAAGAAGCACCGGCUAACUCCGUGCCAGCAGCCGCGGUAAUACGGAGGGUGCAAGCGUUAAUCGGAAUUACUGGGCGUAAAGCGCACACAGGCGGUUGAUUAAGUUAGAUGUGAAAUCCCCGGGCUUAACCUGGGAAUGGCAUCUAAGACUGGUCAGCUAGAGUCUUGUAGAAGGGGGGUAGAAUUCCAUGUGUAGUGGUGAAAUGCGUAGAGAUGGGGAGGAAUACCGGUGGCGAAGGCGGCCCCCUGGACAAAGACUGACGCUCAGGUGCGAAAGCGUGGGGAGCAAACAGGAUUAGAUACCCCGGUAGUC